AGCGAACGCUGGCGGCAUGCUUAACACAUGCAAGUCGCACGGGCGGGGGCAACCCGUCAGUGGCGGACGGGUGAGUAACGCGUAGGGAUCUAUCUCUGGGUGGGGGACAACCGUGGGAAACUACGGGCUAAUACCGCAUGACACCUGAGGGUUAAAGGCGCAAGCCGCCUGGAGAGGAACCUGCGUACGAUUAGCUAGUUGGUGGGGUAAAGGCCUACCAAGGCGACGAUCGUUAGCUGGCUGAGAGGAUGAUCAGCCACACUUGGGACUGAGACACGGCCCAAACUCCUACGAGAGGCAGCAGUGGGGAA
This 311-nucleotide ribosomal RNA is filed under the name uncultured bacterium. Its description in RNAcentral is "bacterial SSU rRNA". It matches the Rfam family "Bacterial small subunit ribosomal RNA", at positions 29 to 361 of the family's 1533-position model. The record is from RNAcentral.